UACGAAGGGUGCAAGCGUUACUCGGAUUUACUGGGCGUAAAGCGUGCGUAGGCGGUUUGUUAAGUCUGUCGUGAAAGCCCCGGGCUCAACCUGGGAAUGGCGAUGGAAACUGGCGAGCUAGAGUACGGUAGAGGAGAGUGGAAUUCCCGGUGUAGCAGUGAAAUGCGUAGAGAUCGGGAGGAACAUCAGUUGCGAAGGCGGCUCUCUGGACCAGUACUGACGCUGAGGCACGAAAGCGUGGGGAGCAAACAGG
This 253-nucleotide ribosomal RNA is filed under the name uncultured bacterium. RNAcentral's name for it is "partial 16S ribosomal RNA". It matches the Rfam family "Bacterial small subunit ribosomal RNA", at positions 524 to 776 of the family's 1533-position model. The record is from RNAcentral.